GACGAACGCUGGCGGCGUGCUUAACACAUGCAAGUCGAACGGAAAGGCCCCUUUGGGGGUACUCGAGUGGCGAACGGGUGAGUAACACGUGAGUAACCUGCCCUUGACUUCGGGAUAACUUCAGGAAACUGGGGCUAAUACCGGAUAGGAAUCCUUGCUGCAUGGUGGGGGUUGGAAAGCUUCGGCGGUUUUGGAUGGACUCGCGGCUUAUCAGCUUGUUGGUGGGGUAGUGGCUCACCAAGGCUUUGACGGGUAGCCGGCCUGAGAGGGCGACCGGCCACAUUGGGACUGAGAUACGGCCCAGACUCCUACGGGAGGCAGCAGUGGGGAAUAUUGCACAAUGGGCGGAAGCCUGAUGCAGCAACGCCGCGGGCGGGAUGACGGCCUUCGGGUUGUAAACCGCUUUCAGCAGGGGCGAAGCUUGUGGUGACGGUACCUGCAGAAGAAGCACCGGCUAACUACGUG
RNAcentral lists this ribosomal RNA (465 nucleotides) under uncultured bacterium. RNAcentral describes it as "partial 16S ribosomal RNA". It matches the Rfam family "Bacterial small subunit ribosomal RNA", at positions 28 to 507 of the family's 1533-position model. The record is from RNAcentral.